This is a non-coding RNA of Pelobates cultripes (western spadefoot toad), 487 nucleotides long. The record is from the annotation of a GenBank genome assembly. NCBI's taxonomy places the organism in Eukaryota, Metazoa, Chordata, Amphibia, Anura, Pelobatidae.
CUCCCAUUUGGUCCCCUAGGGGAGUGUCCACCAGGUGGGAGACCUGCAUAAAUACUGGGCAGGUAGCCCUCCUUAAACAGACCACUGCUUGACCCUCAACACAGAGCCUUGUCUCGUUCUUGGGGGGAUUCACUGUAUGCUGUUAGAGACUGAUUGCCAGGAGUGUAAGCUGAUUGUCUGCUUUUCUUGUUCGUCUGCUAGCAGCUAUUUGGGAGGUUCCAGUUCGGGAGUUGGAGUGCUAUUUUGUAUCCAGUUUGGGAGUUUAGUGUUCUGCAGUAGCUGUGCCUGUAUCUCUGGAAAGGGGGCCAUCGCCUAAACGGUUUUUACCCCUUGUGUGCAAAACGGUCCGUUACAAAUAUAAUUUACACAAAUGAUUUUACUAUAAAUGCUUAAAUGAAUACAUUCUUAAUACAUAUGGGAGUCUGGCUUGCAAUAGCGGGUCAAAGGUUAUAAUAACAGUGGGCCUUUAUCAAUCUAUCUGAACAAG